RNAcentral lists this ribosomal RNA (1244 nucleotides) under metagenome. Its description in RNAcentral is "bacterial LSU rRNA". It matches the Rfam family "Bacterial large subunit ribosomal RNA", at positions 1564 to 2818 of the family's 2925-position model. The record is from RNAcentral.
UGAAUACGAGACGCUAAGGCGUCGAAGUAGUGUAUAUCAGACUUCCAAGAAAAGCUUGCACUGUCAUAGAUAAAAAAUGCCUGUACCAUAACCGACACAGGUGGGUAGGUAGAGUAUACUAAGGGGCGCGAGAUAACUCUCUCUAAGGAACUCGGCAAAAUAACUCCGUAACUUCGGGAGAAGGAGUGCCUUAUUUAUAAGGUUGCACUAACAAGAUCCAAGCAACUGUUUAUCAAAAACACAGGUCUCCGCUAAGUCGUAAGACGAUGUAUGGGGGCUGACGCCUGCCCAGUGCCAGAGGGUUAAAGAAGUUGGUUAGCAAUUGCGAAGCUGAUAACUGAAGCCCUGGUGAACGGCGGCCGUAACAAUAACGGUCCUAAGGUAGCGAAAUUCCUUGUCGGGUAAGUUCCGACCCGCACGAAAGGCGUAAUGAUUUGGAUACUGUCUCGGAGAGGGGCUCGGUGAAAUAGACUUGUCUGUGAAGAUGCGGACUACCUGCACCAGGACAGAAAGACCCUAUGAAGCUUUACUGUAACUUGAAAUUGAAAUUGGACUUUAUUCGCGCAGCAUAGGUGGGAGGCGUUGAUUAUAAUCUUGCGGGAUUAUUGGAGCCAUCAGUGAGAUACCACUCUUGUAAUGUUAGAUUUCUAACUUUGAAUCAUUAUCUGGUCAAAGAACAGUUUCAGGCGGGCAGUUUGACUGGGGCGGUCGCCUCCUAAAUGGUAACGGAGGCGUACAAAGGUUUCCUCUGAACGGUUAGAAAUCGUAUCUAGAGUGUAAAGGCAUAAGGAAGCUUGACUGUGAGACCUACAAGUCGAGCAGGGACGAAAGUCGGUCUUAGUGAUCUGACGGUACUGAGUGGAAAGGCCGUCACUCAACGGAUAAAAGUUACUCUAGGAUAACAGGCUGAUCUCCCCCAAGAGUUCACAUCGACGGGGAGGUUUGGCACCUCGAUGUCGGCUCAUCGCAUCCUGGGGCGGUAGUACGUCCCAAGGGUUGGGCUGUUCGCCCAUGAAAGCGGUACGCGAGCUGGGUUCAGAACGUCGUGAGACAGUUCGGUCCAUAUCCGGUGUAGGCGUUAGAAUAUUGAGAGGAGCCUUCUUUAGUACGAGAGGACCGAGAAGGACAUACCUCUGGUGUACCAGUUAUCGUGCCAACGGUAAACGCUGGGUAGCUAUGUAUGGAGUGGAUAACCGCUGAAAGCAUCUAAGUGGGAAGCCCACCUCAAGAUAAGUAUUCUCAUC